Molecule: non-coding RNA, 107 nt
Organism: Macrolepiota fuliginosa MF-IS2
Lineage: Eukaryota; Fungi; Basidiomycota; Agaricomycetes; Agaricales; Agaricaceae
Source: the annotation of a GenBank genome assembly
GGGCGCUUGGCCUAGUGGUAUGGCGUAUGCUUUGCACUCUAAUGUGUACAUGACCACUGGUUCAUGGAAAUUGUAUAAGAUCACGAGUUCGAUCCUCGUAGCGUCCA